This 62-nucleotide transfer RNA is filed under the name Rastrelliger brachysoma (short mackerel). RNAcentral describes it as "tRNA-Ser". It matches the Rfam family "tRNA", at positions 6 to 67 of the family's 71-position model. From Rfam's summary of the family: Transfer RNA (tRNA) molecules are approximately 80 nucleotides in length. Their secondary structure includes four short double-helical elements and three loops (D, anti-codon, and T loops). Further hydrogen bonds mediate the characteristic L-shaped molecular structure. tRNAs have two regions of fundamental functional importance: the anti-codon, which is responsible for specific mRNA codon recognition, and the 3' end, to which the tRNAs corresponding amino acid is attached (by aminoacyl-tRNA synthetases). tRNAs cope with the degeneracy of the genetic code in two manners: having more than one tRNA (with a specific anti-codon) for a particular amino acid; and 'wobble' base-pairing, i.e. permitting non-standard base-pairing at the 3rd anti-codon position. The record is from RNAcentral. Lineage: Eukaryota; Metazoa; Chordata; Actinopteri; Scombriformes; Scombridae.
AGUGGCAGAGUGGCUAUGUGGUUGGCUUGAAACCAGCCUACGGGGGUUCGAAUCCUCCCUUU